Molecule: long non-coding RNA, 2727 nt
Organism: Myxocyprinus asiaticus (Chinese sucker)
Lineage: Eukaryota; Metazoa; Chordata; Actinopteri; Cypriniformes; Catostomidae
Exons: 3
Source: RefSeq, a predicted model, not a curated record
UUUUGUUUAUCAACCCAUAAUACUAUGAAAAGUUAAUUUAUACAAAAACCUUAAACAUUUAACAUGAAGAUGAAACUUAAAAAAAACAAACAAAAAAAAAAAAAACGGGUGAAUCUUAAAAAACCUGUCCAGAUUAUAUCCAUCUCAUAUUUCACACUAAAAUAAAAAAAGAGAUAGGAAAUUAUAUUUUGCUUAAAAAAUAAAGCCCAUUUUAAGGGUCAUUUUUAAUAUUAAGCACAUUUUCACCCCCAAAUUUAUUUACUGUUUUGAAAGUAAAGAGAAAAGGGUAGUAUUUAAAUUUAGUGUUACCACUGAAGAAUAAAAAAUAAAAAUAAAAAAAAUAACAGGUUAUUAAUAGAUGUGUUAUUAAAGAAUGCUUCCUAAUUAGAAAUAUGGGGGGAAAGUGCAAAAAUGAAAAUAAUAAUAAAAAAAUGACAAGUAAUGGCCCUUCAAUUAUUGGUUCAUUUUAUUUAUGCAAAAUAAAAAUAAGAAUUCUUUAAUUUUGGACUGAAAUAUGACUUGGACGUGUUCUUGACGAGUUUUGCACUAGUGACAAUAUUUUCCCAAUAUCUAAAACAAGUGUAAUUUUUUUUAUUUUUAUGAAUAGAGGAUUAGUCUAAUUCAUGUUGCUUUGUUUUAAAGAGGCACCUGACUUUGACCGAAUAUGACAUUCAUAAGAACUUAUGGGUGAGAAUACAGUACACACAUGCUUCAUCUAACACUACCUGUCUGUUUAAAGUUCACUUAAAAAUUAUAGGAUUAACAGAGAAAUUAUUUUAUCCACAAUUUAAGAAUAUUCAGAAUAGUGUUACUAUUGACGCGAUGUUAUGAUGCUACCUAAAUUGUACACAAAAUAAUGCAGUCAUUUAUUUAUUUGUAAUUUGUGUCAUUUUUCUGCAGGUGUAGAGGAACUGCAUGGAAAGCUGGAUGAGGAGCGGUUCUUGCAGGACAUUGAGUCCGCUGCCUGUGAUUUUCUAAAUUUAACCAGGGUCAUCUCAGUGUUUGACUGCUCAGCAGAAUUGUGCUAGGUGCCAUUUUGGAUGAAGAUCUGAUGGGUGUGUGUGCUGUAUCCAGAGCAUCUGUAUGUGAGGGUGCUGUGCUGCAGUGUGCUGUGCAUUACAGACGGAGAAAUUAUCAUAUACACACAGCCACACAGCUCCAGAGACAAACUGCGGCUUGAUGCUCACACACACUGCCAUCAGUAUAACAACACUUAUUAUAGCCUCUUUAGCAGCUACUGUAACUGCGAUGUAAACAGUAAUUAAUAAAUUAAUGUUUCUUUUCUCUAGAUCUGCAGCAGUCUGAGAACUCCAUAGCGCUGCAUGUUUCUGAGAGCUCUUUCACUUGAAAUGGACAGGCACAGAACAUAUCGCAGACUGGUGAACCAACUUCCACCUGUUAAUCGUGCAACACUGGCAGCUCUUUGUGGACACCUACACACGUAUGACACCAAAGUCUUAAAUAUCACAGUACAACAUUUAAAUUUGAGCGAUCUUGAUCAAGUUUAUCAAGUUGGAUUUCACUACUAAACGUUAUGAGAUCAUCGUUAGAUCGUACUUUCAGUUAUUUUUUGUGGUGCCAAAAGAUCCCGGAAGUGCCACAGCCGAGCGUUUGUUUGUAAACAGUGUAAAUUCAUCUAUAUGGAAUAAAUAUCAAACCACAACCCAUCCUUGCCGUUUAGAGUUAAACCUGACGGCGAUGACUGGUCAAAUGACAUGUAUAACUUGAAAGCUCUAACUAAAAUUUUAGUCACUCACAUUAUCUUGUAGAACUGGAAAGAAUCCAGAUUACUUAACCAUAUCAGAUGGCUCAGAAAAGUUAUGCUUCAUCUAAAGCUGGAAACAAGAACAAGUUCCACAAAGUGUGGGCUCCAUUCCUAACAAACUUGAACAGUCUUAACUUUCUGGUGUCAAAAUACUUUCUCCUUUCCCAGCUUAAAAUGCAGAGACAACAAUAAGUAAGCCAUUCAUAGGUUAAUUUUCUCAAAAACUGUAAUAUAAGAUGGGAGAAUUUAGCCACUUAACUGCAUGUUUACAAUCUUUGUAUGCAUUUAAUUUUUAUUUAGUCCAGGGGUUUUCAAAGUCUUAGACAGUGAGCCACCCCCUGACAAAAUUAAUGAGAUGGCAUUACAGGUACAAUAACCUGUUUUCCCUUAUCUUACUUUGUGAUUAAGGGUGCUUUCACACUGGCAGUUUAGUUCAAAACAGAGCACAGUUCGCAUGAAAAAUUGGUAAUGUGAAAGCUGUCAUGUGGGGAGCGCACCACGGUACCGAACCCGAGACUACCUGUAGGAGGUGGUCUGAGUUCGGUUGCAAUGGAACUGUAGGGUGAUUUGCGUGAAUGUGAAAGCAACUCAGACUCGGGUGCGCACUCGUUCAGGAAGUAACCUGCGCAUGCGUUUUAGCCGAUGAUGACCUAUGGUCAUGAACUCUGGGUAAUGACUGAAAGAAUAAGAUUAUGGAUACAAGCGGCUGAAAUGAGUUUUCUCCACAGGGUGGCGGGACUCAAUCUCCAUGACAGGGUGAGGAGUUUGGCCAUCCGGGAGGAACUCAGAGUAGAGUCGCUACUCCUCCACAUUGAGAGGAGCCAGUUGAGGUGGUUCAGGCAUCUGGUAAGGAUGCCCCCUGUGCGCCUCCCGUUGGAGGUGUUCCAGGCACAGCAAACUGGAACGAGACCCUGAGGUCAGCCCAGUUGUCCUGGGAGUGGCUGGGGAUCCCCUGGGGUGAG